RNAcentral lists this long non-coding RNA (269 nucleotides) under Mytilus galloprovincialis (Mediterranean mussel). Lineage: Eukaryota; Metazoa; Mollusca; Bivalvia; Mytilida; Mytilidae. The record is from RNAcentral.
UUUAUGGGAGGGGGGGGGUAGGAUGAAAUUUGAAAAAAAUAGGCAGGACAGGAGUUUUGAGUAAAAAAAAAAGGCAGGAUGAGACACUUGCAAAAAAAAAAAGUCAGGACGACAAUUUAGGUAAAAAAAAGACAGGAUAAACUAAAAAAAAAAAGGCUGGACCGAACAGAGUGAAAAAUAAAAAGGCAGGACAGAGAUUACAGCUAAAAAAAAAUGCAGGACAAAAUUUUUCAUCCUAGCCCCCCCAUAAAAAUCAAAUGGUAGCUCCC